AUUGAACGCUGGCGGCAGGCCUAACACAUGCAAGUCGAGCGGGGUUUUCGGACCUAGCGGCGGACGGGUGAGUAAUGCGUAGGAAGCUGCCCGAUAGAGGGGGAUACCAGUUGGAACGACUGUUAAUACCGCAUAAUGUCUACGGACCAAAGUGUGGGACCUUCGGGCCACAUGCUAUCGGAUGCGCCUACGUGGGAUUA
Molecule: ribosomal RNA, 200 nt
Filed under: uncultured bacterium
Lineage: Bacteria
Description: partial 16S ribosomal RNA
Rfam family: Bacterial small subunit ribosomal RNA
Source: RNAcentral